RNAcentral lists this transfer RNA (73 nucleotides) under Medicago truncatula (barrel medic). RNAcentral describes it as "tRNA-OTHER". Lineage: Eukaryota; Viridiplantae; Streptophyta; Magnoliopsida; Fabales; Fabaceae. The record is from RNAcentral.
GUGAGCAUAGUUCAAUUGGUAGGACAAUGCAUUAUUAUAUGCAGGGGUUGGGGUUCGAACCCCGGACAUCCCA